GAUGAACGCUGGCGGCGUGCCUAAUACAUGCAAGUCGAGCGAACAGACGAGGAGCUUACUCCUCUGACGUUAGCGGCGGACGGGUGAGUAACACGUGGAUAACCUACCUAUAAGACUGGGAUAACUUCGGGAAACCGGAGCUAAUACCGGAUAACACGUUGAACCGCAUGGUUCAACAGUGAAAGACGGUCUUGCUGUCACUUAUAGAUGGAUCCGCGUCGCAUUAGCUAGUUGGUAAGGUAACGGCUUACCAAGGCAACGAUGCGUAGCCGACCUGAGAGGGUGGUCGGCCACACUGGAACUGAGACACGGUCCAGACUCCUACGGGAGGCAGCAGUAGGGAAUCUUCCGCAAUGGGCGAAAGCCUGACGGAGCAACGCCGCGUGAGUGAAGAAGGUCUUCGGAUCGUAAAACUCUGUUAUUAGGGAAGAACAAAUGUGUAAGUAACUAUGCACGUCUUGACGGUACCUAAUCAGAAAGCCACGGCUAACUACGUGCCAGCAGCCGCGGUAAUACGUAGGUGGCAAGCGUUAUCCGGAAUUAUUGGGCGUAAAGCGCGCGUAGGCGGUUUUUUAAGUCUGAUGUGAAAGCCCACGGCUCAACCGUGGAGGGUCAUUGGAAACUGGAAAACUUGAGUGCAGAAGAGGAAAGUGGAAUUCCAUGUGUAGCGGUGAAAUGCGCAGAGAUAUGGAGGAACACCAGUGGCGAAGGCGACUUUCUGGUCUGUAACUGACGCUGAUGUGCGAAAGCGUGGGGAUCAAACAGGAUUAGAUACCCUGGUAGUCCACGCCGUAAACGAUGAGUGCUAAGUGUUAGGGGGUUUCCGCCCCUUAGUGCUGCAGCUAACGCAUUAAGCACUCCGCCUGGGGAGUACGACCGCAAGGUUGAAACUCAAAGGAAUUGACGGGGACCCGCACAAGCGGUGGAGCAUGUGGUUUAAUUCGAAGCAACGCGAAGAACCUUACCAAAUCUUGACAUCCUCUGACCCCUCUAGAGAUAGAGUUUUCCCCUUCGGGGGACAGAGUGACAGGUGGUGCAUGGUUGUCGUCAGCUCGUGUCGUGAGAUGUUGGGUUAAGUCCCGCAACGAGCGCAACCCUUAAGCUUAGUUGCCAUCAUUAAGUUGGGCACUCUAAGUUGACUGCCGGUGACAAACCGGAGGAAGGUGGGGAUGACGUCAAAUCAUCAUGCCCCUUAUGAUUUGGGCUACACACGUGCUACAAUGGACAAUACAAAGGGUAGCGAAACCGCGAGGUCAAGCAAAUCCCAUAAAGUUGUUCUCAGUUCGGAUUGUAGUCUGCAACUCGACUACAUGAAGCUGGAAUCGCUAGUAAUCGUAGAUCAGCAUGCUACGGUGAAUACGUUCCCGGGUCU
This 1372-nucleotide ribosomal RNA is filed under the name uncultured bacterium. Its description in RNAcentral is "bacterial SSU rRNA". It matches the Rfam family "Bacterial small subunit ribosomal RNA", at positions 28 to 1381 of the family's 1533-position model. The record is from RNAcentral.